Heterocephalus glaber (naked mole-rat) is the source of this 106-nucleotide small nucleolar RNA. NCBI's taxonomy places the organism in Eukaryota, Metazoa, Chordata, Mammalia, Rodentia, Bathyergidae. The record is from Ensembl.
GUUGUUUUGUGGCUUCUAAGGGUGACGAUUGGGGCUUUAUGUCACUGCAUGAGAUGUGCUUUGACUCACACUUGGUUAUGACAUCGGCACAUUAUCCCAUUUGAUG